GUGCAUCUGAGGGGGUUAAAAUAGAGCCUUCAGAGGUGCCCUUCCCCUGGGCGGCUGCUCCACUGGCGCAGGUUGGGGGGGAUGAGGUGGCAGGGUUGGGGGUCGAUGAUGUGUUUUGUUGUCGCUGGUUCACAAGGUUGUGGUGUCUUUGUGGGCAGCAGUGUAGACAGAUGGCAAGAAACAUCAGGGAACCUGACCUUGGGGGUAGGUGUGCAGUGUUUUGGGGGGCCAGGCUAGCAUGCCCCUCCAACUGUACUCCCCUUUGUUGUGUCCGUGGCCUUAUUGUUCCAGCGUCCUUUGUUGUGACAUUGAUCAUUGUCAUGUCAACAUACUGCCAUGAAAAUAACACUCUAUGCUUAGGUGGCGGAGAUGGAGUGGGCAUAUUGGAGAAUCUACGAUCAUCUUCUGAACUUCAUGGGAACGGGGACUUUUUUUUUUAGCUAUUAGAAAUCCACAUUCACAAUAUGUAAUUGUUCUCCUUUUUUUUUUUUUAAAUGUUCUCCAGAUUGCAAAAAUAUCUGCCUGUGAGAACUCAGGAGGACUGACUUUGUGGGCGCAAAGGUAGUGAGUGAGUCAUGCCUGCGAGCACGGAAAGGAGUUCAUCUGCACCUCUUCGAGGAAGGUUCCCAGGUUCCCUGUUUAUGCAGUCAUGGAAGGAUGCGGAACUAGGAGGGAGAAAAGUGGAAGAAACAGCGGCACGUUCCCAUGGAACAGAGUGAGCCACUGAGCAGGAAAGGACAGACGGGUACUGAGAGAAGCUGGUGGGUCAUCCUGCAGCCUAGCAGAGGAAAGAAAAACAGACUCCGGUGUUCUUGAACAGUGGGUCUCGGUUUCCCUGUCUCCUUACCAUGGACAUGUUCCCCGUCUGCAGUGCGAACUUCUGACUAUGCCACAGGCAUGUUAAGUACCAGAAAGUUAAUGGCGCAGAAUCCUGCUGACCUCGUGGUUCGCAUCUCAGCGCCUUUUCCAGCCUCGAACCUGAGCGUUGCUAGAGGCUGGCGACUCCGGACAUGCAUCUGAGCAGUUAUCUGCUGGUGGCCUGGUUCCUGAGGUAACAAGUGGGCGUCCCGGGCGAGUGUGUGCUAAUAACGACUGUGAUGCCACGUGGUGCCCAGAGGUCGCUGCCAUCUGUCCCGGGGACUCCUGGUCCUCGGGGCUUUGGAGAUGAACUUGUGAACUUGGGGCGUCCUGUGAAGUGCAGGCAUCGCGGAGUGCCACAGCAAAUCUGGACGUGAGCAUAAACACAGCUUUCAAAGUGAAAGCAGGGGCCUCGAGGAAGGAAUUGCCCUCAUCUCAUUCCGGACCUGCUCACUGUGCUGUGCUGGAAAACAAAGUAAGUUUUGUUUGUUUCUUUGUUAGCCAAUCGCUCCUACAUGUUUUCUCUUGCUAACAUUAUAUUAGACACUCCGUAUCUGGCAAACGCCAGGGUGUUUUCCCCCUUCAUUGGGAAGUAGGAUAUGAAGUUUGUUAAAUAGCUAAUUGCUUCUUUUAUCUUUUCUGUCCUUCUUCCUGUAUCUAGCGCCCUGCCGGCUUGCUUGUUAGAGAUAGCAAGAGAUUGAAAUUUAUUAUCAGAAAACAAAAAGGUCUUUUUUUU
Molecule: long non-coding RNA, 1594 nt
Organism: Neogale vison (American mink)
Lineage: Eukaryota; Metazoa; Chordata; Mammalia; Carnivora; Mustelidae
Exons: 4
Source: RefSeq, a predicted model, not a curated record